UGGAAGGGUGGCAGAGAGGUCGAUUGCUUCGGUUUUGAAAACCGGCGUAGCUUCACGGCUACCGAGGGUUCGAAUCCCUCCCCUUCCGA
This 89-nucleotide transfer RNA is filed under the name Capsosiphon fulvescens. RNAcentral's name for it is "tRNA-Ser". It matches the Rfam family "tRNA". From Rfam's summary of the family: Transfer RNA (tRNA) molecules are approximately 80 nucleotides in length. Their secondary structure includes four short double-helical elements and three loops (D, anti-codon, and T loops). Lineage: Eukaryota; Viridiplantae; Chlorophyta; Ulvophyceae; Ulotrichales; Ulotrichaceae. The record is from RNAcentral.